Molecule: non-coding RNA, 1246 nt
Organism: Oryza sativa Japonica Group (Japanese rice)
Lineage: Eukaryota; Viridiplantae; Streptophyta; Magnoliopsida; Poales; Poaceae
Source: RefSeq, a predicted model, not a curated record
AAUCAUCACCAUCCUCGAUUCCUCUCCACCGCGCUUUCCGCCAGCGCGAUGACUCUGCGCGCAUCCUCCUCCUCGCUCACGCGCCCCCUUGUCUCUCUCGCGUCGUGAUUCUCUCCCCUGCCCCUCGCCCGUCGCCGCCGUGUUUCUCGCCCCUACCCAUCGCCCAUCACCGCCAACCCCAAUCCCCAAACCCUACACCGCUGUCGGCACUGCGCAUCCCCAUCCCCUCGCGCGGCGCGAUAUCCGCCCAAACCCCCGUUGCCGCCUCCGCUCCGAUCCCCAUCUCGCGAGUCGCGAGCAGAGCAGGAGAGGAGAGGGGCGCCGUCGUUGCCCACAUCGUUGCCUUUGCUCCGAUCUCAUGAACAGAGCAGACGAGGGGAGGGGCGCCGUCGUCCUGCUGCAUCCCAUAACCUCGGACGACGACAUCGACCAACUCAAGUGGCGGCGGUGGCCUCCAAGGGGCCUAUGCAGAGAUUGAGUGUUGUGUUGUGUUGGGCACAGUCAUGGCCACUGCAGCCAUCUCUUCCAUCCUCGCCGUUAGGACUGAUUUCAAGCUAUCUCGAACCAAAUCAUCUCUGGAUUAAGAUGAUCUUUGUAAUGUACAAGUCUCUCAAUAUGUUCAGUGUUAGCUAUAACACUAAUUGGCUAAAACAAUAAUUAUCCGGACUCUAAACGAAGUGUUGUGUCCAUGGCUUGAGGUUGACGUUACAAUUUUUUUCCAGACUGAGUUGGGUAUUUGGUUUCAACAUAGUUCUGAUUUAAUUGACUCAAGAUUUUAGAAAUGGCAUCUUGGGUGUUAGUAAAGAGUCAAGUGGCUGAAACGGUGGCCAUGGCUGUUAUUGGUGGCGUUUUAAGGUAAAUUUUGGGUAUUAUGGUCAUGGCCUCGCGCUGGCCGAUCAGCAUACAGAGGUGGGGAAAGAGAGCUAUGGCUAUGGGCCAUGGGCCUAUGGCAAUGGCAGCGGCGCUGCUUCUCAUGUUGUCCCUAGCGAGGCGGUCAUCAUCUCUUUUGUAUCUCCUUGCAUAUGUGAAGGAGAAGACGGCAAUUGGUUAAGAUCAGGCCAUUCUGCUUGAAUACUCAGAUGUCAUUGCAAUCGAUUAAGUUCGUUGUCCUGUGUGUUCUCCUUCUAAGAUACAGAAGAUUUAUUCAGGAGAGCAACUGAACUCUGAUCUUUUCUUCAAGCAUGAAUGCUUAUCAAUUAUUGUGAUUAAAAUGGUUCCAUCAACUUAAUUGAUUCUGAAUUGGACU